Molecule: long non-coding RNA, 1188 nt
Filed under: Anser brachyrhynchus (Pink-footed goose)
Lineage: Eukaryota; Metazoa; Chordata; Aves; Anseriformes; Anatidae
Description: lncRNA (ENSABRG00000022075.1)
Source: RNAcentral
UUUUCUUUCUUGCCUACAGUUUUUCAUCGUAAGUGCUUUAAUAAGCAACUUUAUAGCCUGGACUGUGAUCAGCAGAGGCCCUCUUCCUUUGAGGAACCCCACAUACAACUAACUGAAGGCUUCUCGGGAGGCAGGAGGAAUGAUCUUGUGCUGCAGGUGUGGAAACAACUGCUCAGAUGUCCUCACACAGGUUCACUGCCAUGGUCUCUUUGCACUGUUGAACAAUUUGUCUCCCAAGUAUUCGUCUUGUCAGUCUGCACAUUUCUGAUCUUGAAAGAGGUGAGCAGUGAGGCUGCGGCUUUGCAUACAGCCUCUGCUCUGCUGGGCAGUUCCAUCAUCCAUCAUCAAAUAUACUCCUGCCUAUUAAAAGUAAGCAGCAGUGGUAAGGCUGAACCAAUAUUUGAUCGCCCUUACAAUUGGCAGUGCAUCACUUUAAUUAACAAGAAGCCUUUCCUCCUCUGUUAAUCUUACCUUCCACCUUCAAAAGCUCAGCUGAGCAGCACUAUCUAAUGGAAUACAUAAUAACUCAAUCACAGGGAGAGAGCUAUCUCCUUGGCUGCUUUGAAGCACCUGUCACUACGUUUGCUUGAUAUUUGAAAAUGUAAGAAUACAUUGUAAGUGGUUGAGAUGUCUCAUGAAGGAAAUCAUUGUGUACAAAGCUAUUAGAACUUGUAAAUAGACAUUACUUCAAAAGUGCUCUCUGUCCUGCAUUGCAUCUCGAAGAGGGAAUUACAUGUGAGGAAAGGCUGUCUUAGCUCUUCAACUGAAUGCUGCUUCCUCGGGGACUGUUCAUAAUUCCACACCUAAAGACACUCUCUUCUACAAGAGGAAACAAAAUAUUUUGAUGAACAGAGAAAACUGGAAACUCUUCUUCAUCCAUUCACAUUGUAAAAAAAAUGCCGCAUAGAAUGUUGCUUUUUACUUAAAGCCUAAGCAAUAAUUCCUGUCAUAUAACAACCUUCUCACCACUACAUUAUGUACCCAUAAAGCCCUGGAACCCCGAGUGCUUCAGGUUCAAUGCCACCAUUUCAAGUAUAAAAAGGUAUGUGCUUCCUACUGUGUUUCCUUUUGAAAAUAUAUCAAAACACAAGGCAUAUGCUCAGGACAAAUAGCUCUCUCUCAUCCUGCUGGACCUAACAUUGUAAAAAGGAACUGUGCACACAGCCAGCUGCCUUGGGUACUUUCAAC